CCUACGGGAGGCUGCAGUGAGGAAUAUUGGUCAAUGGGCGCGAGCCUGAACCAGCCAAGUAGCGUGAAGGAUGACUGCCCUACGGGUUGUAAACUUCUUUUAUAAAGGAAUAAAGUUAUGCACGUGUGCCUUUUUGUAUGUAUUUUAUGAAUAAGUAUCGGCUAAUUCCGUGCCAGCAGCCGCGGUAAUACGGAGGAUCCGAGCGUUAUCCGGAUUUAUUGGGUUUAAAGGGAGCGUAGAUGGGUUGUUAAGUCAGUUGUGAAAGUUUGCGGCUCAACCGUAAAAUUGCGAUUGAUACUGGCAGCCUUGAGUACAGUUGAGGUAGGCGGAAUUCGUGGUGUAGCGGUGAAAUGCUUAGAUAUCACGAAGAACCCCGAUUGCGAAGGCAGCCUACUAAACUGCCACUGACAUUGAUGCUCGAAAGUGUGGGUAUCAAACAGGAUUAGAUACCCUAGUAGUC
Molecule: ribosomal RNA, 460 nt
Filed under: uncultured bacterium
Lineage: Bacteria
Description: partial 16S ribosomal RNA
Rfam family: Bacterial small subunit ribosomal RNA
Source: RNAcentral